RNAcentral lists this ribosomal RNA (466 nucleotides) under uncultured bacterium. RNAcentral describes it as "partial 16S ribosomal RNA". It matches the Rfam family "Bacterial small subunit ribosomal RNA", at positions 28 to 507 of the family's 1533-position model. The record is from RNAcentral.
GACGAACGCUGGCGGCGCGCCUAACACAUGCAAGUCGAACGAGCGAGAGAGAGCUUGCUUUCUCAAGCGAGUGGCGAACGGGUGAGUAACGCGUGAGGAACCUGCCUCAAAGAGGGGGACAACAGUUGGAAACGACUGCUAAUACCGCAUAAGCCCACGACCCGGCAUCGGGUAGAGGGAAAAGGAGCAAUCCGCUUUGAGAUGGCCUCGCGUCCGAUUAGCUAGUUGGUGAGGUAACGGCCCACCAAGGCGACGAUCGGUAGCCGGACUGAGAGGUUGAACGGCCACAUUGGGAAUGAGAAACGGACCAGACUCCUACGGGAGGCAGCAGUGGGGAAUAUAGCACAAUGGGGGAAACCCUGAUGCAGCGACGCCGCGUGAAGGAAGAAGGUCUUCGGAUUGUAAACUCCUGUUGUUGAGGAAGAUAAUGACGGUACUCAACAAGAAAGUGCCGGCUAACUACGUG